UUAAACGUUAGAGUUUGAUCCUGGCUCAGAACGAACGCUGG
RNAcentral lists this ribosomal RNA (41 nucleotides) under Pseudobacteriovorax antillogorgiicola. RNAcentral describes it as "partial 16S ribosomal RNA". The record is from RNAcentral. Lineage: Bacteria; Pseudomonadati; Bdellovibrionota; Oligoflexia; Oligoflexales; Pseudobacteriovoracaceae.